Molecule: small RNA, 1223 nt
Filed under: Malus domestica (apple)
Lineage: Eukaryota; Viridiplantae; Streptophyta; Magnoliopsida; Rosales; Rosaceae
Description: sRNA MD17G0153100
Source: RNAcentral
ACUUUAAAAGUGUACACUUGCAAUAUAAAAUUCAUGCUAAAAUCAAUAAAUUAAAUUCAUACCCAUAACAAACUAGUUCAUUUUCACACAUUUAGCAUGAAUAUUGAGAGCCUAGUGCAAUUUCUGUUUUUUCUCUAGUGCAAAUGAAGCACCAACUUCUUUUUCAUUUUAUUUAAUUAUACAUGUUAUUAAUCAGUUUAAUUAAACAUGUGGGGUUCAAUUCGUGAUACUAUUUCAAGCCUUGCCAACUGCCAAGAGGAACACUAGUGUUACCUCUAGUGAUGUAACUUUGAGAGCUUAAGGUAAUGAAAUAUGAUUAGGAAAGUUUCAGGUUCAAUUCUCUCUCAUGUAACAUAAAGAAAAACAGAAUUGACGAAAAAUUAUUUUCGACUACUUUUUUUACAUGAUCUCUGGUUUAUCCUCUAAUGCAAUAUCGCACUCUUGUAGAUAUAAUACAUCCAUUACCUCACACAGCCACAUGCCAAAUUAUUUCAGUCAUUAAACUCCUAAACCUAAAGUCUGACACUAUCAACAUGAUUUUUAUAUAUCCAUCGACAUGUUGGUGUGACCGGGCAAGUUGUUGAGUUUUUAUUGUCCAACUGUCCAGUUCUUGAGCUAGUUUGAUAUUGCUGUGUUUUUAAAAAAAAAAAAUUUCUAUUAUGUUGUGAGAAUAAACAAUUAUAAAAUAAAAUUGUGAAGUGUUUGUAAACUUUUUUUUUUGUAAAAGUGCUUUUAAUAAUAAAAAAAAAGCAGUUUUUGAGUGUUUGGUAAACUUUUAUAAAAAUUGUUUUAAAUAUGUUAAAUGACUAAAAAUGAUAUAGUAUUUAACGUGAUAAAAUAAUUGUCCAAGACAAUAAUGUAGGGGCAAAGAUUGUAAUUUUGUAAAAUAUGUGGGGUUAUACAUUUCAUUUAAAAGUUUUAUUAAAUGAGCAUUGAUUACUAUGUUUUUUAUUUUUUUUUUAAAAGAGCCCUUUUUGUUAGGAGUAUGGUAUACCCUACUUCUGCUUUUUUAUGCUUGUCUACUUUUAUUGACAACAGUUUAAAAAAAAACUUUUUUUUUUGUUUUACCAAACACAUUUAAUGUUUCAGAUUUUUUAAUAAGUUGUUUUUUUUCAAAGCAUCACAAUCCCAAACCAAUGGAAACAAGUGAGGUAUAAGAUACGUUAGUUAUGUAGUUCAUGUUGUGAAUAAUGUGUUUAAGAAUGGAAAAAACAUAACAAACU